AGCUGCAUAAGUUUGAAAGUGAUUCAUUUAAUGUAAGUUAAUUCAUCUGAGUUAAUUAAAAAUGUUAAUACAACAAUCAUUUAAUGUUUAAGAUUAAAAGUAUGCUGACAGAAAAUUCAUGUCGCUGCCCCUUUAAGGGACUAGUGACGCUAGACGCAGCACCUCACUGACGCUGCAGCAGAGACCUGAGAGAGCAGAGGAGAAAUCGGAGAGAACGAAUGUCUGUUAGUGAGUAGAAAAAAAGAGUGAAAAAGUAGAUUUUGUAGUUGAAAAACAUAAUUUACCUGGUCAGGAACUGACAGGGAUUUUAUGAGAACUAAGCCACACCGGUUUUGGUCAGGUUUUUUGCUUGGUUUGAAGCUCGGUCGGAGCGAGGAUUGGUCUGCAGUGUGCGGGCUUGCACAUGCACAGACGGGAUUCAAGAUGGCGAGUCAGACCCAGAACUUCAACUCAUCUUCUCCAUCGCAUCAGUGAGGAAAUCUCCUGCAUGUGGUGACUCGCUGCCAGAGUGGUAGGAGUAUCAGGAAUUGGUUUUGAACUGAACUGGAAACUGAUUGAAUUAUUAUUUUUGGACUGAAUCGAACUGAAACUCUUCAUUGAACUGAAUAAUCGCAUUUGGACUGAGCUUGAAUUUAAGGUGUCAUGCUUUUGUUUACAUAUUGAGUUCAUAUGUUUAAAUGUGAUUUGAAAUGUUUGUGGUCCACUUUGAUUUGAUUGUGUAAAUUGAAGGUAUUUUCUUACCCGUAAAAGAAAGGGAAAAGAGUUAACUCAGGAAGUAAAAUAGGAAUCUUAAAAUAGGUGCAACCUAGGAAAAAAACCGGUCUAACUUAGAUUAGCUUUAUUAAAAUAACUUAGGUGAACUAAAGAACAAAAAGAGAGUGAAAUACAUUUUCAAUUAUUCAAUAUUAAGAACCUGCAGGGUAUUUUUGUUUUGUAUACUGUAUUUUAUGUGUGUUUUUACAUCAAGUAAAUUGCCGGCCUUUUGUAUUUAAA
Molecule: long non-coding RNA, 993 nt
Organism: Perca fluviatilis (European perch)
Lineage: Eukaryota; Metazoa; Chordata; Actinopteri; Perciformes; Percidae
Exons: 3
Source: RefSeq, a predicted model, not a curated record